GGGUAGUAAAUUUAAACCUAAAGAAUUUGGCGGUUCUUAAACUUUCUAGAGGAACCUGUCCUAUAAUCGAUAAUCCACGAUUUAAUUUACCUAGUCUUGUUAUCAGCUUAUAUACCGCCGUUUAGUGAACUGAAUUAAUAGUUUCUCUAAAUCAAUUAGCUAAAUAAAUCAGGUCAAGGUGUAGUUUAUGAUUAGGAAGAGAUGGGUUACAAUAAUAUUUUAUAUGGAUGUUUCUUUUUAAGAGGGAACUGAAGGUGGAUUUAGAAGUAAACUUAAAAAGUUUGAAGUAAGCUCUUGAGAAUGUACAUAU
This 310-nucleotide ribosomal RNA is filed under the name Streptocephalus trifideus. RNAcentral's name for it is "partial 12S ribosomal RNA". Lineage: Eukaryota; Metazoa; Arthropoda; Branchiopoda; Anostraca; Streptocephalidae. The record is from RNAcentral.